RNAcentral lists this ribosomal RNA (514 nucleotides) under uncultured bacterium. RNAcentral's name for it is "partial 16S ribosomal RNA". It matches the Rfam family "Bacterial small subunit ribosomal RNA", at positions 28 to 523 of the family's 1533-position model. The record is from RNAcentral.
GAUGAACGCUGGCGGCGUGCCUAAUACAUGCAAGUCGAGCGAACAGAUGAGAAGCUUGCUUCUCUGAUGUUAGCGGCGGACGGGUGAGUAACACGUGGGUAACCUACCUAUAAGACUGGGAUAACUCCGGGAAACCGGGGCUAAUACCGGAUAAUAUUUUGAACCGCAUGGUUCAAUAGUGAAAGACGGUUUCGGCUGUCACUUAUAGAUGGACCCGCGCCGUAUUAGCUAGUUGGUAAGGUAACGGGUUACCAAGGCGACGAUACGUAGCCGACCUGAGAGGGUGAGCAGCCACACUGGAACUGACACACGGUCCAGACUCCUACGGGAGGCAGCAGUAGGGAAUCUUCCGCAAUGGGCGAAAGCCUGACGGAGCAACGCCGCGUGAGUGAUGAAGGUCUUCGGAUCGUAAAACUCUGUUGUUAGGGAAGAACAAAUUUGUUAGUAACUGAACAAGUCUUGACGGUACCUAACCAGAAAGCCACGGCUAACUACGUGCCAGCAGCCGCCGUAA